AGACGGGGUUUCGCGGUGUUGGCCGGGCUGGUAUCCAGCUCCUGACCGCGAGUGAUCUGCCCGCCUGGGCCUCCCGAGGUGCCGGGAUUGCAGACGGAGUCUCGCUUACUCAGUGCUCAAUGUUGCCCAGGCUGGAGUGCAGUGGCGUGAUCUCGGCUUGCUACAACAUCCAUCUCCCAGCCGCCUGCCUUGGCCUCCCAAAGUGCCGAGAUUGCAGCCUCUGCCCUGCCGCCACCCAGUCUGGGAAGUGAGGAGCGUCUCUGCCUGGCUGCCCGUCUCUGGGAUGUGAGGAGACCCUCUGCCUGGCCGCCCAGUCUGGGAAGUGAGGAGCGCCUCUUCCUGGCCGCCAUCCCAUCUAGGAAGUGAGGAGCGUCUCUGGCCGGCUGCCCAUCGCCUGAGAUGUGAGGAGUGCCUCGGCCAGGCCGUGAACCUGUCUGGGAUCUGAGGAGUGUCUCUGCCUGACCGCCACCCCGUCUGGGAGAGACUGUUACAUUUAAAGAAUGCAUCAAAUAGCACAUACCCAGUGGCAGGAGAAAUCGAAGAUGAUUUGGAGGUUUCAAACCAGGGAGAUAUACGGCCACUCAGGAAAAGCAGGAAGAAAAUGUGGAGCUUGAGAUUUCAGCAGAGGCUGACCCAUCAAGUGGAAUCCUGUGGCCAAGAAGCAGCUCCGGCAGAAAGUCAGAGAGAGAGGAGAGUGAGGAUAAGGUACCAUUCCUCUGGUUCUGUUGUUGAAAACUCCGAUUCAUUUUUCAAGUACUUGCUGCAAUGUGACUUUAUGAAACGGUAGAGAGGAUGGAUUUAGGAAGGGAUAGAGAAAUCAAGGACAAUUAGGAAUAAAAGAACUAAAGAAGACAUUUUUGUAAUUGUACACAUUGAGAAGUAAUAAAUACCAUUAGGGAUACACAUUCUUUGAGGACCAGCCUCAGUGUUUUUAACUUUCUGUUCCCAAUGUCUAGCUCUGCUCUCCAGUAUAGAAAACAUACUCAACACAUAUUAUUUGAAUAAAAAAGAUGAACUAUAAGAUAAGCAAAGGUCAGGAGUCCAAGGUUUACCUUGUAUCCAUUGUCUUCCUUGCGGUUGUGAGAGGCAGUAAUCAUCACACCUGCAACUGCUUUGAGCUUCUGAACUGCAUAUGGCUGAAAAAUAAAUAACACCAUAAUUCCAUUUUGCUUCCUAGCUAUUUACACAUUUGACAUGAGAAUAAUUUUGAUUAAAUAACAGGAAAAGCAUUAUAGUAUGAUAUUGCUUUUGUUGAUACCCUCUUUAUUUUCUAUUUACUUGAUUUUUCCUCAUACCUUUAUUAUAAGAUUUCCUUCCUUUUACUUUUUUGGAUUUCUUCUGUUUUAGCACAAACAUGUUAAGUGAAAGCCAACUUAUUAUUUUAAAAUCUUUUUUUUCCUUAUAUAUUCAUUAAGGCUAUACAUUUCCCUCUAAGUAGGGCUUUAGUUAUAUCCCAUAAUUUUUGCUAUGUAUUAUUUUCAUUAUUGCUCACUUUUAAAUACCUACAGGCAGUCCUUGCUUUGCUCAGUUCCUAUACACAAAAUUACUGAUACUAUGCUUUUGUUAAAAUAGCUCCAGUCUCCCAACAACACGUUCAAAUUUCAGUUACCACGGUAAUAUUAGCCAUAACUGCAUCAAGUACACACUUGGCUUCUAACUCUUCAGUCCACACAUCCCUACAUUUAUAACACAGCCACAUCAUGAUGAGUGAUCAAUCAUAUCACUCUUCAAAAGGGUGUCAGUGAUUGGUCACUGAGCAUCUGUUACUUAGCGCUCACACAAACUGCAAAACAUGUGGCUCUAUUGCCUCCUUUUCUCCCAAUAAUAGACCCACAUGACAGUGUACAAAAAUGGAUAAUGGAAAGUGGGAAUUGGCCAACAAAGGUGAAAGUGCAGCAAAGAAACAAAAAGGAGUAAUAAUAGAGAGAAAUUUGAAUUAAACAUAAAUGGAGUUAUAGAAAAAAUAAGUGGGAAUGCUGACACUGCUGCCAUUCAAGAGACUUUAGACAUACUACCAGGGAAGUGUAGUGAAGGGGAACACAUGGAUUAAACGAGGAACGAGGCUGUAAUGAGAAGGAUGAAGAUGUCCCAGAGGAAGUGACACCAACAAAAAAAACCUUCAUAUUAAAGGAACUCCCAGAGAUAUUUCACGACAUUGAAAUUAACAAAGGAUAAGAUGCUGGAAGUGAAUCCAAACUCAGAAAGGUAUAUUAACAAUUUGCCAAGGCACAGAAAAGAUGCUUGCUUGUAAUAUAAAUAAAUUAUAACCACAAGAAGCAAGCUCUGUUUAUCUCCUGAUAAGUUUUAUUAAUUUAUUUAUUUAUUGACAUGGAGUCUUGCUCUGCUGUCCAGGCUGGAGUUCAGCGGCACAAUCUCAGCUCACUGCAAUCUCUGCCUCUCAGGUUCAAGCAACUCUCGUGCCCCAGCCUCCUGAGUAGCUGGGAUUACAGGCGUGCACCACCACACCUGGCUAAUUUUUGUAUUUUUAGUAGAGAUGGGGUUUCGUUGUGUUGGUCAGGCUGGUCUCAAACUCCUGACCUCAGGUGAUCCACACACCUUGGCCUCCCAAAGUGCUGGGAUUACAGGCAUGAGACAUUGCCCCUGGCCUCCUGAUAAGUUCUUUUUACAAAGAAAUAAAGUACUUUAGUUAUCAAUGUUUCUUAACGUUUUAAAUUACAAUGUACUAAAUAAACAUUCAUUUUAUCAUUGUUUUUUCUUUUCCCUAUACAUUUUUAACCAAGAGUAAGAGUGUUUUUAAUGUUUUGGCAAAAAAAAAUGUUAAAGGUCAUGGAACAGUCAUAAUUUUUCUCAUUUAUGAUUAAGAUCAUUUGGCAUGGUUUUGGCUUGUACAGCUGUCUUUAUAGCCCCCACGCUCCGUGCAAAGCAAGGACUGUCUGUCAUUGCUAAUCUGCAUUAUGUUAUCUUCCUUAAUCCAUGAAUAGUUUAUGAAUGUGUUUUAAAAAUUCCAAACAGGGGAAGAUUUAUGGGCUUUUUUAUUUCUGAUUUUAUUGCAUGGGAUCCAGGUAUAUGGCUUGAUAAGCAGUUCUUUGGCAUUUGCUGAGACUGUGAUUCUGCUUAAUAAUAAUGUAAAUCCUAUUGUCACUCAAUAGAGAAUUUUUACACACAUACACACACACACACCCAGAUCAAGCCUGUUAACAAUGUGUUCAAAUCUAUCCUUCAUCAUUUUUGUCUGCCCAAUGAAUCAAUUUCUGAAAGAAGAUGUUAACAUAUUUCACUAUAACUGUAGACUUGUCAACUUUUAUAGAUCAAGUUCUUAGCUAAGUUUAACAAAUGUCUGUUGAAUGAAAAUAAACUCAAAGCAAAAUUUGUUUUCCUUCCAUUGGUCCCUUAUAUUACUCAAUACAGAACUACAUGCACAAAAAAUAUUUGAAUCCUAGUUGAUUUAAGAAAUGUUUUCAAGAGCAGCAAGCUAUAUGAUCACCAACACAACACACUUACUACAAAAGGUGUAGGAACAUAUCUUGAAAAAAGGUACACAGGAACAUCUUUGGCCAGCAAGACUGCAGCAGUGAGUUUAGCAAGCCUAAAAAAAGAGAGAUUUAACUUAGUCCUUUGCCUACCAUACUUUUUAAAAACCAACCUUCCACAUAAAUGUUUCAUAUUAUAAUUAGUCUGAAUAAAUAGUAUCCUAAUAUAGCCCUUUCUUAUAAUCACUGAUUAUUUAAACUUCAUGCCCUAAUUGGAAAAUUUUAAAUAAAUAAGUUUUUUUAAAAGAAGAGUUUAACAACUAACAUAAUUGAUAUUUCAAUUUCCUCUUUUUCCCUCAUUCAUCUUUUGAUGGCUCUUUUACUAAGAAAUAAAAUCUGCAAAAGGCAAAAAGAAUGGAAAAAGUGAUAUAAGAGACUUUGAUAAACUCAAUAUGCAUUAUUACCCCUGAAGAAAGAUAUCACUACAUGAUUAUCUAUUUAUAAAAACACCCUAAAACUAAUCUAAUAGGCAUAUAAUGAGAAUAUAAGCUACAUAAUUACUACUACCCGGUGCCUUUGCCAAAAUAUUAAAGUUAUAAGCUAUGAUGUCAUUCUAAAUAUGAACUCUAAAUAUUUUAAAUUUUUACUUCUUUCUGUAAAAUCUAAAGCUUUUCUUUGAGAUACUUUUUCUUCUAUUUCAGCUUUAAAGUAAAUAUUAGCAUGUGAUCACAUUUCUAUCUGACAGUCUACUGUUUCAGAAAUCCUACUACU
Molecule: long non-coding RNA, 4202 nt
Filed under: Homo sapiens (human)
Lineage: Eukaryota; Metazoa; Chordata; Mammalia; Primates; Hominidae
Description: HSALNT0178196
Source: RNAcentral